This is an RNA transcript of Drosophila yakuba, 1791 nucleotides long. RefSeq lists it as uncharacterized. The transcript has 5 exons. NCBI's taxonomy places the organism in Eukaryota, Metazoa, Arthropoda, Insecta, Diptera, Drosophilidae. The record is from RefSeq and is a predicted model, not a curated record.
ACGGAAGACAGAAUGAUGAUUUCUGCUCCGCAUCCACGCAUUUAUUUGCCUGUGAUUACACAGAGUGCAAUAUCUAGGUACAAUUAUUUUCGUUUUUGAAUUUGUACAUGGUGGGGAUGAGUGUGAGGGUUGGACACGUGUGGUAAGUAUACAUGGUUUGGUAUUUUCUUACUUAUAAACAUUGCGUGGAUGGUAACAUUAACAUAUGGUUUUUGUUUGUUUACAUUUUAAAGGUUUAGGAAAUUUACAUUUGUCAAUUAAAUUAAGUUUAGAAUUUGAAUUGUUUCUAUUUUCAGAUGCCCCCGCCAGAAGGACGGAAGCAUCGAGUCUCAGGAGUUGGGCCAGCGUUUCUGGUAAGUAUUCAUGGUGUGAAUUUUAGCCGGCUGUCAAAUGUGGUACUAUUUACCACCACAGCGGCCGUUAUUUUGCGUUUGAGUUUUCAUUUUAGCUACAGCAGUUUCACCAGUCGUCAGUGUUUUAUUUCCGUGUGCAUAUCCCGCGCCGCCGUCAAUUUGGAUUUUAGUUUGCAGGAGGCUGUCAACCCGCCCAUGGGUCUCAUCGCCAGCAGUUUCACCAGUCGUCAGUGUUUUGUUUUCGUGUGCAGAUCCCGCGCCGCCGUCAAUUUAAAUUUUUAGUUUGCAGGAGGCUGUAAACCCGCCCAUGGGUCUCAUCGCCAGCCGUCAAAUGGUCGAAAGCGAAGUGGAUUCCCGCGCUGCCGUCUUAUUCCAGGGUCCAGGGAGUUGCUGCAUUUCAGCUGGAGUUCUUCAUUGCGUAGUGGAUUCCCGCGUCGCCGUCUUAUUCCGGGGUCCAGAGAGUUGCUGCACUUCAGCUGGAGUUCAUCGAUGUGUCGGCGAGAGCGUCGUCAUUGUUUUGGAGUCACCAGGGUCGUCGCUUCUGUGGGUCGUCUCGCCAGGGAAAGGAGGCAUCUUAUGGACGCCGGGCCAAGAUGCUUUGCUUUGGGCCGACGCUCGUAAGUGUCCAUGGAAUUGGAUGCAGAAAAUUGGAUUAGAUAAGUAUAUCUAUGUGUUUAGUUUUGUUUUGUCUGAUUUUUGUUUUGUCUUUUCUUUUGCAGGUCCAAUUAGUCCAGGAUUUUUCAUUUUUGUCCGGUGGGAUUUGGGAAGGAAUGCAUUGCCUUGGAUUUAUAAAGAGCAUCGUCGGAGGUUCGUAUUUGUCAGUGAGUUUGUAAAUGCAUUUAGUUUUCUGUUGUUGUUAGUUUAUUUUGCUCUUUUUCAGGGAUAUUGUCAGUAUGUCGUUGCUACCAAGAAAAGGUGGAAUUUAAGGGUCAAGAUUUUGACCUUUUGCCGGGUCAACAGCGCCGCACUUGGAAUUCGUGCCGAAAUCGUCGUUUUUCAUUUCGCCGAGUCGGGAAAUGGGAUUUUGUUUGUAUGCCGUUGCUGCCAGAAAAAAGUCGAUUUCAAGGGUCGCGAAAUUGACCUUUUGCCGGGUCAGCAGCGGCGCACCUAGGGUUAAGAAGGACGAGGGUGCACCCCAACAUGGAGACGGCAUCCAAACAUUAUAGGAUUUUUAUGUUUUAGGUGACAAAAGCUUCGUUUUUCGUUGCGCCUAGCAGGGAAGGAUAUUGUCAGUGUUAUCGUUGCUACCAGAAAAAGUCGAAAUUCAAGGGUCACGAUUUUGACCUUUUGCCGGGUCGGCAGCGCCGCUCCAAGGGUCAAUAAAAUCGAGGGGGCUUCCUGGAAUAGGGACGGCAUCAAAACAUUGUGGAUUUUUAUAUAUAUUAUUAUAUAUUGCUCUGUUUUAUGUUUUGAUUAAAGUAUUUCAAUCUUUAACGGA